ACCUACGGACAUACCACGUUGAAUACACCGGUUCUCGUCCGAUCACCGAAGUUAAGCAACGUCGGGCCCGGUUAGUACUUGGAUGGGAGAGCGCCUGGGAACACCGGGUGCUGUAGGCG
This 119-nucleotide ribosomal RNA is filed under the name Pomacea canaliculata. The record is from RNAcentral. Lineage: Eukaryota; Metazoa; Mollusca; Gastropoda; Architaenioglossa; Ampullariidae.